GAUUGAUGGCUGUUUUCCAAAUGUUGACAUUAUCAGAAGCCUGACCUCCACGUGGCAAAGAAGGGCCUGUUUUAAGAGGCCUCACCAAACAGCUGGCUGCAAAGGGCUGCUCUUUGAGACCAGGUUGUCUGCAGAGUCCCGAGCUGUUGGGGUUGGCCGGCUGCCUUUCUUCUCUGGCGGUGUGUGUGUGUUCUCCGUGUUUCCAGGGUGAAGCGCCCACGAGCAGGUAGAACCACAGUGGACUGAGGCUCACCUUUCUAGACCUGAAAGCUGGGAGAAGGCGGAGGAGGGGGGCCCUGAGUCCCAGCCUCUCACCUAGGAUGUGAGCUGCCCCUGCGGAUGGCACUGCUGGAGAUCUUGAGAAGCCGCUUCUGUGUGGGAUGGGGUAAGUGGGGCGUUUGCAGACGUCUGGGACGAGGUUCAGGUUUUUUUUUUGUUUGUUUUUAAAAUUUUUUUAUUAUAGUCGAUUUACAAUAUUCUAUUAAUUUCUGCUCUACAGCAAAGGGAGGUUCAUUAUUUGUGACUCUUGUUUUGGUGGGAAGAGGGGCUCUGAUUCUAACCGCUCAGAAUCUAAGGCUUUGAAAUUGAUUUCCUGGGAACCUUCUGAUGCUUUGGGUCCCUCUUUAGAGAUGGGGCACACCCGUGCGUGGCACAUGGAAGUUCCUUGGCCAGGGACUGAACCUGCACCACAGCAGUGACAACACUGAGUCCUUUACUGCUAGGCCACCAGGGAACUCCUUAGAAUCCCUUUUCCUUGGCUCAUUGGAGUGGGCAGGCUAGUCUUUUAGGCUUGAUGAGAAGGGGGGGGUGCGCCAGGGCCACUGUGAGCUGAGUGGGUUUGCCUGCCCCCCACUGAACCUCCGCCGAUAGGCACUGAUUCCUUACGCCUUGAGUCAUGAGGAAGAGGAUUCUCGCAAAUUUUCAGAUCAUAUUGUUUUAGAGACUUUCCAGGAUAACCCUCCUGGCUUCUCUCUUGCCACUAGAGAAGGGAAAACAGGAAUAGACUUGGACAGCAGCAGGGGAAGCUUGGUAUCAGAAUGGGUUUUUUUGGGGGCUGAUGGAUGUGAGAUCAUAGCACUUUUAACACAGAGGGUGGAGCCUUCCUCUAAACUGGGAAGUGGGGAGUUCCCGUCGUGGCCCAGCGGUAAGGAACUCGACUAGGAUCCGUGAGGGUGCGGGCUUAAUCCCUGGCCUCACUCGGUGGGCUAAGGAUCCAGCAUUGCAUGAGCUGUGGUGUAGGUCACAGGCUCAGCUCAGAGCUGCUGUGGCUGUGGCUGUGGCUGUAGCGUAGCCUGGCAGGUACAGCUCUGAUUCGACCCCUGGCCUGGAGACUUCCAUAUGCUGCAGGUGUGGCCCUAAAAAAAAAAAAAAGGUAAUCUGGGCAGUGGCUUUGGUUACAGUGGAACAUUUCAUGUAACCUGAAAUUUACGCUCUGCCCAAUGGGACGUCAUCAUUACGCCAUCAUUUCCGGGGGGCUUCCGGCGGAAAGGACCAGUGCAAAGAUGCAGGUGUGCGGGCGCUGGGAGAGACAAAAUCUGUGGCAGAGACCCCUCUCCUCCCUCCGGUGUGUGGCAUGAGGCUCUUCUGGGGAAGUCCCCCACAAAGGGACCUGUGCGUUGCAUCCCUUUGGCCGCAUAGGGACAGUGACGUGUGCUCUGAACAACCCCCAUGUACCUCGUGGGGGCAGGGUGAUUUAGGCCAAAAGAGGUUAUAUAAAAACCCAGAGGGGAACGAAGCCACUCAGGCCUUGUUUCUAGGUGACGUCAUGCUGCACUAUUUAACAUUUAUCAGAUUCUGGUCCUAUGCUGAUUGAUCCAGGAUUUGAACAAAAUAUGUGACUACUGACUUAAUGGAGAGGCUGAAUCACAGGUGCUUCCUGAGGCAAGAGCCCUGCAAUUAAAAAUAUAUUUUUUUUUUUUUACUGUCGUGGGAACACUGAACACAAGAUCUACCCUCUUAGCAGAUUUUAAGCUGUACAACACAGUAUUAGCAAUAGAUUCAGUAUUUUAGGGCAGAUCUCUAGAACUUACUUAUCGGGCAUCACUGAAAUUUUAUACCUGUUUCCACCUGUUGGCUGCUGUAAAAUUCUUCAUGAACAUGGCGAUGCUAAAUAUGUCUAUGAGAACCUGCUUUUAUUUCUUUUGGUUAAAUACCCAGGGGUGAGAUCGCUGGGUCAUAUGACAAUUCUGUUUUUAAACUUUCAUCCGUAAUGGCUGCAAUGAUUUCCCGUUCUGAUCCCUGCAGUGUGUCCUUUCCUACCAGCCUAGCAGCCCUGCAUUGCGGGUCUUGCUGGGACCUGUUCCUCCCGUCUUACCUGUUGCUCCUGGCAGCCUGGAUCCUGACAGGCAGCCUUGGCCACUCCCCUUCCUGCCUGCACACAGCAGCCUGGAGACCUCUUGCUCCAGUUCGCAUCGCGUCGUGUUGUCAUAAUUGGUUGAUUGGCUUUUUUUAAAAGGAGUAAAAAAUAACAUAAACGCUACUAAUGCAGUAAUAAAAUGUUUAACCUCUUACAGUACAUACCUUCCGUGUUCCCAUCCCUACAGAUCCACGUUAUCUUUUGUGCAAAUAAGCUUCCCCCACGUGCUUUGAUCCUUCCAGCCACCCCUUCUGUUUGUUGGCGAGCUGGCCACAGGGGCUGAUCCCCCUUUGACGUGGAGGCCUCGCACCCCUGGGGACCAUCCUUAGUUGGGGCUGAGGGAAGGCACAGAUAUUUUGUGCCCUCGGGAAGGCACAGAUAUUUUAGGACAACUCUGAAGUUUCCUCUGUCCUGUCUCCAGAGAGCCCCUGUGGCUUCUUUCUCCCACUGUCCAACUGGUUUUCUCUGGAAAGGUAGGAGUUCUUAUCUCUGGCCUAAGCAACUUGUUCCAAGCAACAGCGUUAGAAAGUGAGGGAGAUGGGAUUUGAUCUCAGGUUACCAGGGGCUGUGAUCCUUUUUUUUUUAAAGGGCUGUACCUGUGGCAUAUGGAGAUUCCCAGGCUAGGGGUCCAAUUGGAGCUGCAGCUCCUGGCCUACACCACAGCCACAGCAACGUCACAUCCGAGCCUUGUCUGUGACCUACACCACAGCUCAAGGCAACACUGGAUCCUUAACCCACUGAGUGGGGCCAAGGAGUGAACACACGUCCUCAUGAAUACUAGUUGGGUUUGUUACCACUAGGCACAACGGGAACUCCCCAGGAGCUGUGGUCUUAACCAGAAAGCUCCCUUGUGUUUUUCCGAGGCAGGGGCUGCUUGUCCUUUUCUGUAUAUUUGCCUCAUCAUGGAUUACAGUGACUGCCACCUGGCAUCCUGCAAAUGCUUGCUGAAUGGGUGGCUGAACAGCCUGGCAGACCUCUGCCCUGUCCCCACACAGCCUUCCUGAGAUCUGCCUCUGGGUGUCUGCUGGGUCACCUUCUGGGAUGACCUUCCCCCAGCUCUCUUUCAGAGUCGGCACAAGCCCACCUCUUAUUUGCUGCCUUUCCAGUCUCUCCCAGCCUAGAAUCAUUUUUUUUCCCCUCUCAGAACCAGUAUUAUUGGUCACAUGUGGCCUUUUGUAUCUUCUCUCCUCCCAACCUGACGACUGUAAAUCCUUGAGAAGCGGGGGUAGUGCCCAGAACCACACAGUAAGUGUUUGGUGAUUCGAUUCUUUGGGGAUGAAUCAAAACCUCGGGCUGAGCUGUCCAAAGAAAUGCCAUGGUCGUUUUUGGGUUUUAGGAAUGAAAGAAAAUAGUGAGGUCAAGGAACAAAAUUGAAAAAAAAAAAAAAAAACAUAAAAUAAGUAAGGGGGCACAUUGAAAAAUUGUCGGCCCAUUUUGGGGUGAGUCCAUGUGUGCAUUUUCGCGCUGCAGCUGUUCAGGCUGAAUCACAGGGUAGGUGUGUCAUCUCUUGGCUUCGAGCUCGGUGGCUAGGCAUCUGCCCUCUGGGGGAUCGAAGCAGAUUUAUGUGAUGAAUAAUGUGGAUUCUCGUCCAGCACUUGGGAUGUGGUUUGACAAACUUCAUGCAGAUGGCAGGGGAAACACAUCAGGUGUCUUUACCCACUCAUCCCCCUCACCCCCUGAGACACAACAAGAAUGUCCCUCAGCUGAGUUUGUGUGUUGAGGUCCAGCCGAGGGUCAGCCUCGCUGUCCAUAGUGGCUUCUCUUUGGCCAACUGGCGGCGCCCCCACUGAAGGGUCCUGGGUUGCAACUGAACAUGGAAAGCCUACGUGCAUUGAGCACCUAUUGUGUGCCUGGCAUUCUGCUCAGUGCUCUCAAUAGUGUACGUGACUGAGCCUCCCUGUUCACACUAUGGACGUGCUGUCCUCCCCAGGUCCAGCUGCUAGAACCCACAUAACCUCUUGCAACUCACACCGUUGUGGUGACCCUGGAUUCGAACGGUGCUUUCCCUGGCCUCGAACCCCAUGACCCCCUCCCCUGCAUCUUGACCUUCCCUUUUGAGUACAGAGGUGUUUUAUUUUACUUUAUUUGUAUUUAAAAAAUUUUGUAUUACAGUUGAUUAAAAUGUUCUGUCGGGAGUUCCCGUCGUGGCUCAGUGGUUAACAAAUCCGACUAGGAACCAUGAAAUUGUGGGUUCGAUCCCUGGCCUUGCUCAGUGGGUUAAGGAUCCGGCAUUGCCACGAGCUGUGGUGUGUAGGUCGAAGGUGCAGCUUGGAUCUGGCGUUGCUGUGGCUCUGGUGUAGGUCGGCAGCUGCAGCUCCGAUUGGACCCCUAGCCUGGGAACCUCCAUAUGC
This 4707-nucleotide long non-coding RNA is filed under the name Sus scrofa (pig). RNAcentral's name for it is "lncRNA (ENSSSCG00060042625.1)". Lineage: Eukaryota; Metazoa; Chordata; Mammalia; Artiodactyla; Suidae. The record is from RNAcentral.